This 64-nucleotide transfer RNA is filed under the name Anolis carolinensis (green anole). It matches the Rfam family "tRNA". Rfam says of the family: Transfer RNA (tRNA) molecules are approximately 80 nucleotides in length. Their secondary structure includes four short double-helical elements and three loops (D, anti-codon, and T loops). The record is from Rfam by way of RNAcentral. Lineage: Eukaryota; Metazoa; Chordata; Lepidosauria; Squamata; Anolidae.
GGUAAAGUGAUUUGUAUGUUGGACUACAGCUCCAGAGACCAGGGUUCAAAUCUCUGCUUAGCCA